This 254-nucleotide ribosomal RNA is filed under the name uncultured bacterium. RNAcentral's name for it is "partial 16S ribosomal RNA". It matches the Rfam family "Bacterial small subunit ribosomal RNA", at positions 524 to 776 of the family's 1533-position model. The record is from RNAcentral.
UACGUAGGGUGCGAGCGUUGUCCGGAAUUACUGGGCGUAAAGAGCUCGUAGGCGGUGUGUCACGUCGUUCGUGAAAACCUGCAGCUUAACUGUGGGCGUGCGGUCGAUACGGGCAUCACUGGAGUUCGGCAGGGGAGACUGGAAUUCCUGGUGAAGCGGUGAAAUGCGCAGAUAUCAGGAGGAACACCGGUGGCGAAGGCGGGUCUCUGGACAGUUCCUGACGCUGAGGCACGAAGGUCAGGGGAGCAAACGGG